GGAAGCACACUCAUUGAAGGUUGAAAAGAUAUUAUUUCAGGGGAAGUCAGAUUACCAAAAUGUCAUGGUUUUUCAGUCAUCAACUUACGGAAAAGUGCUUAGUUUGGAUGGUGUUAUACAACUCACAGAGCGGGAUGAAUGUGCUUACCAAGAAAUGAUCACUCAUCUCCCACUUUGCUCAAUUCCAAACCCCAGAAAGGUGUUGGUUAUUGGAGGAGGUGAUGGUGGUGUCUUGCGUGAGGUGUCUCGGCAUUCUUCUGUUGAACAGAUAGACAUAUGUGAGAUUGACAAGAUGGUAAUUGAUGUCUCUAAACAAUUUUUCCCUAAUGUAGCUAUAGGAUAUGAGGAUCCCCGAGUCAAACUCCAUGUUGGUGAUGGAGUUGCAUUUUUGAAAAAUGUUCCAGAAGGAACUUAUGAUGCAGUUAUAGUGGAUUCCUCUGAUCCCAUAGGUCCAGCACAAGAGUUGUUUGAAAAACCUUUCUUUGAAUCAGUAGCAAGGGCUCUGCGUCGUGGAGGGGUUGUCUGUACUCAGGCUGAGAGCAUAUGGCUUCAC
Molecule: unclassified non-coding RNA, 553 nt
Filed under: Hevea brasiliensis (rubber tree)
Lineage: Eukaryota; Viridiplantae; Streptophyta; Magnoliopsida; Malpighiales; Euphorbiaceae
Source: RNAcentral